AAACUAACAAGGAUUCCCCUAGUAGCGGCGAGCGAAGCGGGAAGAGCUCAAAUUUGUAAUCUGGCACCUUUGGUGUCCGAGUUGUAAUCUCGAGAAGUGUUUUCCGUGCUGGACCGCAUAUAAGUCUGUUGGAAUACAGCGUCAUAGUGGUGAGAACCCAGUUCAUGAUGCGGACUACCAGUGCUUUGUGAUACACUUUCAAAGAGUCGAGUUGUUUGGGAAUGCAGCUCAAAUUGGGUGGUAAAUUCCAUCUAAAGCUAAAUAUUGGCGAGAGACCGAUAGCGAACAAGUACCGUGAGGGAAAGAUGAAAAGCACUUUGGAAAGAGAGUUAACAGUACGUGAAAUUGUUGGAAGGGAAACGCUUGAAGUCAGACUUGCGUAUUGGAGUUUUAGCCUUAGGGUGUACUACUCUGGUUUGCAGGCCAGCAUCAGUUUUUGGGGGUGCAAAAUCGUCAAGGGAAGGUAGCAGCUUCGGCUGUGUUAUAGACUUUGGCAGGAUGCAUCUUUAGGGACUGAGGAACGCAGUGUAUUGUGCCUUCGGGCUGUUGCACUUAGGAUGCUGGUGGAAUGGCUUUAAACGAC
RNAcentral lists this ribosomal RNA (583 nucleotides) under Colacogloea papilionacea. RNAcentral's name for it is "eukaryotic LSU rRNA". It matches the Rfam family "Eukaryotic large subunit ribosomal RNA", at positions 62 to 648 of the family's 3401-position model. The record is from RNAcentral. Lineage: Eukaryota; Fungi; Basidiomycota; Microbotryomycetes; Colacogloeaceae.